This 496-nucleotide ribosomal RNA is filed under the name uncultured bacterium. RNAcentral describes it as "partial 16S ribosomal RNA". It matches the Rfam family "Bacterial small subunit ribosomal RNA", at positions 29 to 507 of the family's 1533-position model. The record is from RNAcentral.
AUGAACGCUGGCGGCGUGCCUAAUACAUGCCAGUCGAGCGAACAGACGAGGAGCUUGCUCCUCUGACGUUAGCGGCGGACGGGUGAGUAACACGUGGAUAACCUACCUAUAAGACUGGGAUAACUUCGGGAAACCGGAGCUAAUACCGGAUAAUAUAUUGAACCGCAUGGUUCAAUAGUGAAAGACGGUUUUGCUGUCACUUAUAGAUGGAUCCUCGCCGCAUUAGCUAGUUGGUAAGGUAACGGCUUACCAAGGCAACGAUGCGUAGCCGACCUGAGAGGGUGAUCGGCCACACUGGAACUGAGACACGGUCCAGAGUCCUGCGGUAGGCAGCAGUAGGGAAUCUUCCGCAAUGGGGGGAAACCUGACGGAGCAACGCCGCGUGAGUGAUGAAGGUCUUCGGAUCGUAAAAAUCUGUUAUUAGGGAAGAACAAAUGUGUAAGUAACUAUGCACGUCUUGACGGUACCUAAUCAGAAAGCCACGGCUAACUACGUG